This 253-nucleotide ribosomal RNA is filed under the name uncultured prokaryote. Its description in RNAcentral is "partial 16S ribosomal RNA". It matches the Rfam family "Bacterial small subunit ribosomal RNA", at positions 524 to 776 of the family's 1533-position model. The record is from RNAcentral.
UACGAAGGGGGCUAGCGUUGUUCGGAAUUACUGGGCGUAAAGGGCGCGUAGGCGGCCCGUCAAGUCCCGUGUGAAAGCCCCCGGCUCAACCGGGGAACUGCACGGGAAACUAGCAGGCUUGAGUUCGGGAGAGGGAAGCGGAAUUCCGGGUGUAGCGGUGAAAUGCGCAGAUAUCCGGAGGAACACCGGUGGCGAAGGCGGCUUCCUGGACCGACACUGACGCUGAGGCGCGAAAGCUAGGGGAGCAAACGGG